This 706-nucleotide ribosomal RNA is filed under the name uncultured soil bacterium. RNAcentral's name for it is "bacterial SSU rRNA". It matches the Rfam family "Bacterial small subunit ribosomal RNA", at positions 67 to 762 of the family's 1533-position model. The record is from RNAcentral.
CGGCAGCAUGAUCUAGCUUGCUAGAUUGAUGGCGAGUGGCGAACGGGUGAGUAAUACAUCGGAACGUGCCCUGUAGUGGGGGAUAACUAGUCGAAAGAUUAGCUAAUACCGCAUACGACCUGAGGGUGAAAGUGGGGGACCGCAAGGCCUCAUGCUAUAGGAGCGGCCGAUGUCUGAUUAGCUAGUUGGUGGGGUAAAGGCCCACCAAGGCGACGAUCAGUAGCUGGUCUGAGAGGACGAUCAGCCACACUGGGACUGAGACACGGCCCAGACUCCUACGGGAGGCAGCAGUGGGGAAUUUUGGACAAUGGGGGCAACCCUGAUCCAGCAAUGCCGCGUGUGUGAAGAAGGCCUUCGGGUUGUAAAGCACUUUUGUCCGGAAAGAAAUCGCACUUACUAAUAUUAGGUGUGGAUGACGGUACCGGAAGAAUAAGGACCGGCUAACUACGUGCCAGCAGCCGCGGUAAUACGUAGGGUCCAAGCGUUAAUCGGAAUUACUGGGCGUAAAGCGUGCGCAGGCGGUUGUGCAAGACCGAUGUGAAAUCCCCGGGCUUAACCUGGGAAUUGCAUUGGUGACUGCACGGCUAGAGUGUGUCAGAGGGGGGUAGAAUUCCACGUGUAGCAGUGAAAUGCGUAGAGAUGUGGAGGAAUACCGAUGGCGAAGGCAGCCCCCUGGGAUAACACUGACGCUCAUGCACGAAAGCGU